AUGAACGCUGGCGGCGUGCCUAAUACAUGCAAGUCGAGCGAACGGACGAGAAGCUUGCUUCUCUGAUGUUAGCGGCGGACGGGUGAGUAACACGUGGAUAACCUACCUAUAAGACUGGGAUAACUUCGGGAAACCGGAGCUAAUACCGGAUGAUAUUUUGAACCGCAUGGUUCAAAAGUGAAAGACGGUCUUGCUGUCACUUAUAGAUGGAUCCGCGCUGCAUUAGCUAGUUGGUAAGGUAACGGCUUACCAAGGCAACGAUGCAUAGCCGACCUGAGAGGUUGAUCGGCCACACUGGAACUGAGACACGGUCCAGACUCCUACGGGAGGCAGCAGUAGGGAAUCUUCCGCAAUGGGCGAAAGCCUGACGGAGCAACGCCGCGUGAGUGAUGAAGGUCUUCGGAUCGUAAAACUCUGUUAUUAGGGAAGAACAUAUGUGUAAGUAACUGUGCACAUCUUGACGGUACCUAAUCAGAAAGCCACGGCUAACUACGUG
Molecule: ribosomal RNA, 496 nt
Filed under: uncultured bacterium
Lineage: Bacteria
Description: partial 16S ribosomal RNA
Rfam family: Bacterial small subunit ribosomal RNA
Source: RNAcentral